RNAcentral lists this microRNA precursor (86 nucleotides) under Picea abies (Norway spruce). RNAcentral describes it as "miR11411c stem-loop (pab-MIR11411c)". The record is from miRBase by way of RNAcentral. Lineage: Eukaryota; Viridiplantae; Streptophyta; Pinopsida; Pinales; Pinaceae.
GGAAGCCCACGUCUGCAGAUUUCAAUUCUAUGGCAAAUAGCUGAAGUACUAUUGUAUUGAAUUGAAAUCUGCAAAUCUGGGUUUCC